This 106-nucleotide small nuclear RNA is filed under the name Canis lupus dingo (dingo). Lineage: Eukaryota; Metazoa; Chordata; Mammalia; Carnivora; Canidae. The record is from RNAcentral.
GUGCUCAUUUUGGUCACAUAGACCAAGAACUGAAGUGAUACAGAGGACAUUAGCAAAGUCGCUGUGCAAAUAUGACAUGCAAAUUCAUGCGGCAUUCCAUUUCAGA